UACGGGGGGAGCAAGCGUUGUUCGGAUUUACUGGGCGUAAAGGGCGCGUAGGCGGCCAGCACAAGUCAGUUGUGAAAUCUCCGAGCUUAACUCGGAACGGUCACUGAUACUGUCGGGCUAGAGUGCGGAAGAGGCGAGUGGAAUUCCUGGUGUAGCGGUGAAAUGCGCAGAUAUCAGGAGGAACACCUAUUGCGAAGGCAGCUCGCUGGGACGUAACUGACGCUGAGACGCGAAAGCGUGGGGAGCAAACAGG
This 253-nucleotide ribosomal RNA is filed under the name uncultured bacterium. RNAcentral's name for it is "partial 16S ribosomal RNA". It matches the Rfam family "Bacterial small subunit ribosomal RNA", at positions 524 to 776 of the family's 1533-position model. The record is from RNAcentral.